RNAcentral lists this ribosomal RNA (1390 nucleotides) under uncultured bacterium. Its description in RNAcentral is "bacterial SSU rRNA". It matches the Rfam family "Bacterial small subunit ribosomal RNA". The record is from RNAcentral.
AAUAGUUUGAUUAUGGCUCAAGAAGAACGCUAGCGGCAGGCCUAACACAUGCAAGUCGAGGGAGAAGCCCUUUUCGGGGGCAGAAACCGGCGCACGGGCGCGUAACGCGUAUGCAACCUACCUUUUCACAGGGGGAUAGCCCGAAGAAAUUUCGGAUUAAUACCCCAUAAUAUUAUUGAAUGGCAUCAUUUCAUAAUUAAAACUGAGGUGGUGAAAGAUGGGCAUGCGUCCUAUUAGCUAGUUGGAGUGGUAACGGCACCCCAAGGCUACGAUAGGUAGGGGUCCUGAGAGGGAGAUCCCCCACACUGGUACUGAGACAGGGACCAGACUCCUACGGGAGGCAGCAGUGAGGAAUAUUGGUCAAUGGUCGGAAGACUGAACCAGCCAUGCCGCGUGCAGGAAGAAUGCCUUAUGGGUUGUAAACUGCUUUUAUAUGGGAAGAAUAAGGCGUACGUGUACGUUGAUGACGGUACCAUAUGAAUAAGCAUCGGCUAACUCCGUGCCAGCAGCCGCGGUAAUACGGAGGAUGCGAGCGUUAUUCGGAAUCAUUGGGUUUAAAGGGUCUGUAGGCGGGCUAUUAAGUCAGGGGUGAAAGGUUUCAGCUUAACUGAGAAAUUGCCUUUGAUACUGGUAGUCUUGAAUAUCUGUGAAGUUCUUGGAAUGUGUAGUGUAGCGGUGAAAUGCUUAGAUAUUACACAGAACACCGAUUGCGAAGGCAGGGGACUAACAGACAAUUGACGCUGAGAGACGAAAGCGUGGGGAGCGAACAGGAUUAGAUACCCUGGUAGUCCACGCUGUAAACGAUGGAUACUAGCUGUUUGGCGCAAGCUGAGUGGCUAAGCGAAAGUGAUAAGUAUCCCACCUGGGGAGUACGCACGCAAGUGUGAAACUCAAAGGAAUUGACGGGGGCCCGCACAAGCGGUGGAGCAUGUGGUUUAAUUCGAUGAUACGCGAGGAACCUUACCAAGGUUUAAAUGGAGACUGACAGGUGUAGAGAUACGCCCUUCUUCGGACAGUUUUCAAGGUGCUGCAUGGUUGUCGUCAGCUCGUGCCGUGAGGUGUCAGGUUAAGUCCUAUAACGAGCGCAACCCCUAUUGUUAGUUACCAGCACGUAAUGGUGGGGACUCUAGCAAGACUGCCGGUGUAAACCGUGAGGAAGGUGGGGAUGACGUCAAAUCAUCACGGCCCUUACAUCUUGGGCUACACACGUGCUACAAUGGUCGUUACAGAGAGCAGCCACUGCGCGAGCAGGAGCGAAUCUAUAGAGACGAUCACAGUUCGGAAUCGGAGUCUGCAAACUCGACUCCGUGAAGCUGGAAAUCGCUAGUGAAUCGGAUAUCAGCCAUGAAUCCGGUAAAUGACGUUUCCCGAGCCCUUGUGCCCACCGCCC